GACCUUGCGCUUUUGGAGCGGCCGAUGUCUGAUUAGCUAGUUGGUGAGGUAAAGGCUUACCAAGGCUUCGAUCAGUAGCUGGUCUGAGAGGACGACCAGCCACACUGGGACUGAGACACGGCCCAGACUCCUACGGGAGGCAGCAGUGGGGAAUUUUGGACAAUGGGGGAAACCCUGAUCCAGCCAUGCCGCGUGAGUGAAGAAGGCCUUCGGGUUGUAAAGCUCUUUCAGCCGGAACGAAAAGGUUACGGUUAAUACCCGUGACCAAUGACGGUACCGGAAGAAGAAGCACCGGCUAACUACGUGCCAGCAGCCGCGGUAAUACGUAGGGUGCGAGCGUUAAUCGGAAUUACUGGGCGUUAAAGCGUGCGCAGGCGGUUUUUGUAAGUCAGAUGUGAAAUCCCCGGGCUCAGCCUGGGAACUGCGUUUUGAAA
This 434-nucleotide ribosomal RNA is filed under the name uncultured bacterium. RNAcentral describes it as "bacterial SSU rRNA". It matches the Rfam family "Bacterial small subunit ribosomal RNA", at positions 209 to 632 of the family's 1533-position model. The record is from RNAcentral.